GACGAACGCUGGCGGCGUGCCUAAUACAUGCAAGUAGAACGCCGUUGCGAACGGGUGAGUAACGCGUAUGUAACUGCCUCAUAGCGGGGGGUAACUUUUGGAAACGAUAGCUAAUACCGCAUUCUGUGAGAUGUACCUGCGUUGUAUUUGCUAGUUGGAGAGGUAAAGGCUCACCACGGCGACGAUACAUAGCCGACCUGAGAGGGUGAUCGGCCCAACUGGGACCUGGACACGGCCCAGACUCCCACGGGAGGCAGGAGUAGGGAAUCUUCGGCAAUGGACGGAAGUCUGACCGAGGAACGCCGCGUGAGUGAAGAAGGGUUUCGGAUUGUAAAGCUCUUUUGUUAGAGAAGCGGUAACGAAAGAGAAAGGGACGGCUAACUACGUGCCAGCAGCCGCGGUAAUUC
This 407-nucleotide ribosomal RNA is filed under the name uncultured bacterium. Its description in RNAcentral is "partial 16S ribosomal RNA". It matches the Rfam family "Bacterial small subunit ribosomal RNA", at positions 28 to 526 of the family's 1533-position model. The record is from RNAcentral.